RNAcentral lists this ribosomal RNA (309 nucleotides) under uncultured bacterium. RNAcentral's name for it is "partial 16S ribosomal RNA". It matches the Rfam family "Bacterial small subunit ribosomal RNA", at positions 504 to 808 of the family's 1533-position model. The record is from RNAcentral.
AGAGACAGCAGCAGCCGCGGGAAUACGUAGGUCCCGAGCGUUGUCCGGAUUUAUUGGGCGUAAAGCGAGCGCAGGCGGUUAGAUAAGUCUGAAGUUAAAGGCUGUGGCUUAACCAUAGUACGCUUUGGGAACUGUUUAACUUGAGUGCAAGAGGGGAGAGUGGAAUUCCAUGUGUAGCGGUGAAAUGCGUAGAUAUAUGGAGGAACACCGGUGGCGAAAGCGGCUCUCUGGCUUGUAACUGACGCUGAGGCUCGAAAGCGUGGGGCGCAAACAGGAUUAGAUACCCCCGUAGUCCCUGUCUCUUAUACA